UACAGAGGGUGCAAGCGUUAUUCGGAAUUAUUGGGCGUAAAGCGCACGUAGGCGGUCUUUCAAGUCCGGUGUGAAAUCCCUGUACUCAAUACAGGAAGUGCAUUGGAUACUGUUAGACUGGAGAAUGGGAGAGGAGAGCGGAAUUCCUGGUGUAGAGGUGAAAUUCGUAGAUAUCAGGAGGAACAACAGAGGCGAAGGCGGCUCUCUGGACCAUUUCUGACGCUGAGGUGCGAAAGCGUGGGGAGCAAACAGG
This 253-nucleotide ribosomal RNA is filed under the name uncultured bacterium. Its description in RNAcentral is "partial 16S ribosomal RNA". It matches the Rfam family "Bacterial small subunit ribosomal RNA", at positions 524 to 776 of the family's 1533-position model. The record is from RNAcentral.